RNAcentral lists this ribosomal RNA (253 nucleotides) under uncultured bacterium. RNAcentral's name for it is "partial 16S ribosomal RNA". It matches the Rfam family "Bacterial small subunit ribosomal RNA", at positions 524 to 776 of the family's 1533-position model. The record is from RNAcentral.
UACGUAGGGUGCAAGCGUUGUCCGGAAUUAUUGGGCGUAAAGAGCUCGUAGGCGGUCUGUCGCGUCUGCUGUGAAAACUCGGGGCUUAACCCCGGGCCUGCAGUGGGUACGGGCAGACUAGAGUGCGGUAGGGGAGACUGGAAUUCCUGGUGUAGCGGUGAAAUGCGCAGAUAUCAGGAGGAACACCGGUGGCGAAGGCGGGUCUCUGGGCAGUAACUGACGCUGAGGAGCGAGAGCGUGGGGAGCGAACAGG